Molecule: long non-coding RNA, 587 nt
Filed under: Homo sapiens (human)
Lineage: Eukaryota; Metazoa; Chordata; Mammalia; Primates; Hominidae
Description: non-protein coding lnc-TRIM29-9:4
Source: RNAcentral
UGGAGGAAUGGGAGAGGAGCUUUCCACUCCUCUGAGAGUCAUGUCGAGAGUCUGUCUUAGCCCUCGACCCCUCAGUCUUUGUAGAUCUCAUCCCAGAACCCCGAGGGAGAGGAGAAGUUCUGGUCUCUCCUCGGUGCUGCGGCUGCCCCGGGAAGAGUUUCCAGGAGCUGACAAGCAUUCAGAUGAGUAAAGAUGGGAUCGGAUUGAGAAAAGGAGAAGGGAGAGCAUAUUCGUUCUCUUUCCACCUCCCUCCCACAGCCUUUCAUGCUGAUCUCAUCUGACGAAGCUGCCUCCUCCUCCCUGGACUCUACAAGCCCCUGUCAUGAUGUUUCUCAGAUCCUGAAUUCCAGCGAAACAGAUGAUACUAACAAGUUUGAAGACCCCCACAGAGGAAUGGAAUCAGUAUGAGAACACAGUUUCUUCAUCUCCCUGUCCCAGAACUUCACCCUGGACUCCUCGACCAAUCAACAAUCUCCACACUUCGGCCCACUCCAAAACUCCUAAAAUCCCAAGCUCCAAACUCCUCUGGGAGAUGGAUUUGAGGCUUCCUCCCGUUUCCUUGUGUGGAAGCCCUGUCAUUAAACCUC